CCACCCUCAAGCACAGCUUGGUGUUGGGCGCCUGUCCAGCCUCGCGGCGCGGACUCGCCUCAAAACGAUUGGCGGCCCUUCCAGCGGCUCUGAGCGCAGCAGAAUUGCGUCUCUGGCGGCGGGGAGCGGCAACCAGAAGCUUAAUUUUUUCA
RNAcentral lists this unclassified non-coding RNA (152 nucleotides) under uncultured Massarina. RNAcentral describes it as "sequence contains ITS2". Lineage: Eukaryota; Fungi; Ascomycota; Dothideomycetes; Pleosporales; Massarinaceae. The record is from RNAcentral.